RNAcentral lists this ribosomal RNA (495 nucleotides) under uncultured bacterium. RNAcentral's name for it is "partial 16S ribosomal RNA". It matches the Rfam family "Bacterial small subunit ribosomal RNA", at positions 28 to 507 of the family's 1533-position model. The record is from RNAcentral.
GAUGAACGCUGGCGGCGUGCCUAAUACAUGCAAGUAGAACGCUGAAGGAGGAGCUUGCUCUUCUGGAUGAGUUGCGAACGGGUGAGUAACGCGUAGGUAACCUGCCUGGUAGCGGGGGAUAACUAUUGGAAACGAUAGCUAAUACCGCAUGACAACAGUUAUUGCAUGAUAACUGUUUAAAAGGGGCAACUGCUCCACUACCAGAUGGACCUGCGUUGUAUUAGCUAGUUGUUGAGGUAACGGCUCACCAAGGCGACGAUACAUAGCCGACCUGGUAGGGUGAUCGGCCACACUGGGACUGAGACACGGCCCAGACUCCUACGGGAGGGAGCAGUAGGGAAACUUCGGCAAUGGACGGAAGUCUGACCGAGCAACGCCGCGUGAGUGAAGAAGGGUUUCGGAUCGUAAAGCUCUGUUGUAAGAGAAGAACGAGUGUGAGAGUGGAAAGUUCACACUGUGACGGUAUCUUACCAGAAAGGGACGGCUAACUACGUG